UGAUUACCAUUGGAGGAGGGGCGAGGCGAGGGAGCCGCCAUUAUCCGCUUUCCAGGCUGCAGCUGCACUUUUUUCCGCUAUUGUUUAUAGUUAGCCAUGAUAGCCGAGGAGGAAGUACAGGACGAAGCCAUGGUGGAGGCCGCCGGCAAUGAGCCCGAGGGGACCGGACCAAACGAGGGACUGAAGAUCAACGCAAGUAAAGGCGAGGAGGACGAGGGAAAAAUGUUUAUCGGCGGGCUUAGCUGGGACACUACAAAGAAAGACCUGAAGGAUUACUUUUCCAAAUUUGGAGAAGUUGUGGACUGCACCUUGAAAUUGGAUCCAAUCACUGGUCGGUCAAGAGGCUUUGGCUUUGUAUUAUUUAAAGAAGCUGAAGGUGUUGACAAGGUGAUGGAGCAGAAAGAGCACAAGUUGAAUGGCAAAGUUAUUGAUCCAAAGAGGGCAAAAGCGAUGAAGACAAAAGAACCAGUUAAAAAGAUAUUUGUGGGUGGCUUGUCACCAGAUACACCAGAAGACAAGAUAAGGGAAUACUUUGGAACAUUUGGGGAGAUUGAAGCAGUUGAGCUGCCUAUGGACAACAAGACUAACAAAAGACGAGGUUUCUGCUUCAUCACAUUUAAGGAAGAGGAACCAGUGAAACAAAUUAUGGAAAAGAAAUACCAUAAUGUUGGCUUGAGUAAAUGUGAAAUUAAAGUAGCACUUUCAAAGGAACAGUAUCAGCAACAGCAACAGUGGGGAACAAGAGGUGGAGGGUCUUCAUCAAGAUCUCGGGGAAGAGGAGGCUUAAACCAGAGUUGGAACCAGGGAUACAGCAAUUACUGGAAUCCAAGCUACAGUAGUUAUGGCUAUAACAACCAGGGUUACGGAGGCUACGGCAACUAUGACUACACUGGUUAUAAUUACUAUGGAUAUGGAGACUACAGUAAUCAGCAGAGUGGUUAUGGGAAAACAGCCAGACGAGGUGGUCAUCAAAAUAGUUACAAACCGUACUAAAUUAUUCCCUUUACAACGUUUCACAAACAGCGGGGAAUUCAUUGCAGGCCCUGUGUCGCGCUGACUUCACGAUUCUCACAGGCCCGCUCAAUGCGGACAGGGUACGAGAUGCUCACGCUCUCGAAUGCUGCCGUUUGGUGGACAAACAGUAUUUUCUGGGUUGAAGAUUCAUUUGAGGUGGCUCAUUCUGCAUGCAUAUAGCAGUGCAAUUUAAAUAUAAUUUUAUUUUUUUUCCCUUAAUUUUUUUUUCUUUUUUUUUUUUCCUUCCCCUUUUUGUUUUUAAUUUUAUUUUUAAUGAGACCCUAUAAGAGGGAAAAAUGCUUUUCUCCUAAUUUCUAGAAUUCAUAUAGUCUUAUUUUAUAAUGGUUUCGCUUGUUAAAUUGUGUUCACAUUAUUUCACCAGCAUGGAAGACAAGCUGUUGUGUUUUUAUGCCUGCGUCAUGAUGUAGCUUUACCCACUUUUCUUUAUAAUAAAUCUUCCUCUAAUUUUUUAAUAUAAAA
This is an RNA transcript of Pseudophryne corroboree (corroboree frog), 1494 nucleotides long. It is a transcript of the gene named heterogeneous nuclear ribonucleoprotein D0-like, with no coding region annotated. The transcript has 9 exons. NCBI's taxonomy places the organism in Eukaryota, Metazoa, Chordata, Amphibia, Anura, Myobatrachidae. The record is from RefSeq and is a predicted model, not a curated record.